UCUCUUAACUGAAAUGGUCAGUUUUUUUACACCUCCCAGACAUACAGUAUAUUGCUCCUAUUGAAAAGGGUCUUUCCACUUGCAGACAUCAGUUACAUCUGGUCAUGCCGUCAUCUCCAGCUUUCCUAUGUGGGUUUAAAUAUAAAUUCAGACACACUCCUAGUAAUGGAAUUGCCUUAGAAAUGAAUCCAGAGUGAAGUGUAACUUAAUGAUCCUUUAAUUUAGGGCUCAUGCACACGACCGCGCUCCAUCUGGGAAACACGACCAGCGCCACGCUGGACAUCUCCUGGACAGACGCCGGCUCCUCUGACCCAAACUCACAGCAUUACAGCCAUUUCCGAUGCAGAGUUCCUAUGUGACCACUGGUCUAUGCUACUGUACUCACACGAUGAUUGAGUACAGUACAAUACAACGCACCAGCGGUCAGAUAAUUGUAUUGUACAAUCGCGCAGUGAGU
This is a long non-coding RNA of Bufo bufo (common toad), 457 nucleotides long. RefSeq lists it as uncharacterized. The transcript is spliced from 4 exons. The record is from RefSeq and is a predicted model, not a curated record. Lineage: Eukaryota; Metazoa; Chordata; Amphibia; Anura; Bufonidae.